This 431-nucleotide ribosomal RNA is filed under the name Neogloboquadrina pachyderma. Its description in RNAcentral is "partial 18S ribosomal RNA". It matches the Rfam family "Eukaryotic small subunit ribosomal RNA", at positions 1337 to 1737 of the family's 1831-position model. The record is from RNAcentral. Lineage: Eukaryota; Foraminifera; Rotaliida; Globorotaliidae.
GUGAGCAUCUCAAUUUUUAUACACCGUAUUUAAGCGCUUAGAUGCGAUUAUUGGCUCUUUUAGUGUCUUUUAAUUGUAUUUCUAAUGCGCGCGGUAAAGCCUGCUUCGAGAGUAAGUGGGUAAUCCAUUGGAAGUAAUGAUUUCUCUUUANUAUAGCACACCUAUAUACGGCAUUCAUUCCCGGGAUGACUAGUUUCGUCUUUUUUGUGCGAAUGUAAUGUAUUCUUUAUCCGUAUGUGCGAUUGUCAAUUCAUGGUGGGGACAGACCAUUGUUAAUUGUUGGCUCGGUCUUAACUAGGAAUGCCUUGUACGGGUCUUUGGUUCAACAAACCACCCGGAAUACGUCCCUGCCCUUUGUACACACCGCCCGUCGCUCUUACCGAUAAACUUCUUUGUGAGUCUAAGGGACUGGGUUAAUANUAUUUUUAAUA